UCUUUCAAAGUUGAGCUAUCAAAACUAAAAAAAUUCAGUUUUUCAGCAAGAUUUUUAAAAUUUUGUAAUCUGUGAAACUUUUUAAACAAUCAUAACUCAUUCGUUUUAAGUCGGAUUGACCGGCGGUUUUUUCCAACAUUUAGUUUACAAUUUGUAGAUGAAUUUAGACUAUAAUUUUGUUGAUUUUGGUAUUAUAUUCAGUGAGUUACAAUCCUUCAAAGUUAAGCUAUCAAAACUGAAAUAUUUCAACUUUUUAACUAUUAUUUUAGACUAUAAUUAUGAAUUUUAUGUAUCUUUGAAAGAUAAAUCAUAUGAAAGGGAUCAUGGUGAACUUGAUUUAUAUGUUAGUUGCUUUUAUUUGGAAAAUUAAUUUUGCAAGUUAUAAUAUUCUAACAUCAAGGUAGAUUAGUUAUGCAUGAAACGGAAAUGUAAUCAUUUUUACAAGUUAUAUCGUAUCAAACUCAAUAACAUAUUCGUUUUAACGAGUUCUAUCAAACCCAAAAACAUAUUCUAACGACUUGUACUCUAUGCAUGAAACGAAAACGUAAUCAUUUUUACAAGUUAUAUCGUAUCAAACCCAAUAACAUAUUCGUUUUAAUGAGUUCUAUCAAACCCAAAAACAUAUUUUAACGACUUGUACUCUAUGCAAUUAAAGUUGUACCGGUCCAAGCGGGUCCAAGAACCGGAAAACCCGGACCUGGACCCGGACACGGACACGACUCAUCGAUCCGGUCCACGGUCCACAAUAUUAUCCAUAACCGGUCCGAUCCAAGAGCCGGUCUGGUCCGGUUCGGUACAAAUGCUCACCCCUAAUAUGGAGUGACUUGAAUCAUCACUAAUUCAGCGUAGAAGUACACCAUGUGUUCCAUUUGUUCCUAUUCCAUUCCAAAUAUCAUAAUCAUAAUCAGAACUAAAGGGUUAAAUAUCUAAGAAUCAUAAUUAAACACUCAUGUUAAUCUUCGGUGGGGUUGUGGCGACUUUGAUGAACCGAAUGAGAAACACAUACGGCGUCGGAAUGAAUAAAUUCCAUUCUAAUCGACCUAGAAUCCGCUUUUCCAUCACUAAACAUGUUGAUGUCCGUAAGCUCUAUCAGAUAUUUGAACAAAAUCGUUGACUUCCGGAGCCUAUAUUUCUUCAAUUUUGAUACAAUAAGCAUUGCACUCACUCAGACACACUCUAAUUCUCUUCUAGCAACAGUUAAAACUUCAUACAUCAAAAACAUAUAUGUAUCCAUUGUGAGUUGGUGGAAUCUGUAUCCACUAUAAUUCUCUCAUUGUUGGUAUCUUGAGCAUCACUGUCGAAGAUAUUCGUUUGUUUUGGUUUGUAGUUAAGGCAACUAUAAUUCUCUCAUUGUUGAUAUCUUGAGCAUCAAUGUCGAAGAUAUUCGUUUUUUUGGUUUGUAGUUAAGGCAACAGACAGCUUUGCUCUGGCAGUUAGUGCUGAAGUGAGUGACAAUUGAGGGUCUUUGUUUUGAGAAGAUGAAAAAGAUCCUGAUUUCUUCUCUUCUUGGUUGUCCGGACUGAUUUCGAUUACAAUUGCAUUUUCUGGCACCGAUGGUGGUUUUGGUUUGGAUGUGGCCUUCUUCUUGGCUGAUUUGACUGACAUUGGUUUCUAUAAUUAAGAUUCAGGAAGAUGAAUUGUUAAUGAAAAAAGAUUUGAUGAAAAGUUUAUGUGAAUAAUCGAUUAAAAAAAUUGGAGAAAACUUUCACCUUUUUGUUUUCAGCUGCGUCUUGUUGGGAGAAUUGAGAGACGAGGAGGAGGAGGAGGAAGAUUUUGACUUUUCAAAGUCAUUGUUAAUAGAAAAUAGGUUAAUGUCUAUGUGGCAAAUGGGUAACCGGAUUACCUUUUUCAUUUUGUCCAAAGUGAUCAAAUUGACCCGAACAAAACGAAUUUAAUGGUCUAGAAAGCACGGAAAUACUUAAGGGGCUGAAUUGACAAAUAUACAAAACAUCAGAGGGCGAAAUUGUCAUUUUCCUUUCAAAAUAAUAUUGGAAAACUAAUACGACUGUUGUGCAUGUUUAUGUAAAGUAGUUGUUGAUAUUUUCUUGUACUUCUUAUCUAUUCAAGUUUAUCAAAGUUAUAAUCACAUAGAAGAUUUUAUUCGAACAUAUUUCGAAUAGUUUAUAAGAUAAUAUACAAAUUUUAAAUUUUAUAACUCGAAACGUAUAAAUCAGUACAAAUGAGUUAAAUAUUUAUUACUUUAUAUGAAGUUUAUGGUGCACCGCACAUAUGGAAAGUAGUUGGGUAUGGUUGGAGGUGAUACGAAAUCCAUCCACACCAAUCUUGCCAUGCAACAAAGACAUGACUUAAUGGACAAAUAAAAUAUCCCAAUUUUCAAACCUAAAUCAUCUGUGAUAUUGUCAGGCUGACCCACGGUGGCACCGUCAUCAAUGGUGGAGGAGCCGCCGUCUAUUAAUAAUACUUAAUUAAUAAGCCCUCUUCCACUCGUUCUUUUACUUAAAAGAAAACAAACUUUGUGUGAAUAAUCACAAGAAUAAAUAAAGAAAAUAUACAACAAAUAAAUAAUAUAUGAGUUUAAUUAUAUCAAGUUUUAAGAAUAUAACUAUGCUUUCAAAGACAAAAUGAGAUAUAGACAUUGAAUAGAAGUCGUUGACUAAACAUUGCAAUCGAACUUAAUCCCUAUAUGACAAAUGGCACUUCGCUUUUAUAACUAUUUUGGGAUUAAUUUAUAUUUGCUUUUAACAAGUUACUAUAAAAAAUGGUAUUUUAUCAUUACUCAUUUUUAGACAAAACCGUAAACAUGAGUGUGGUAUAUUAAAAAUUAUCACUUUAAUCCAAAACCAUUUAGAAUAAUAUCAAGGUCCAAAAUUUUAUUUUGUUGUAUUUUUAAUCUAAUUUAGUGGCUGGCUAAACAUUGCAAUCAAACUUAAUCCCAAUAUGACAAAUGGCACUAUAGUUGUUAUAAAUAUUUUUGUAUAAAUAAAAUGGUAUUUUACUAUUACACAUUUUUAAUUAAGAAAAAACUGCAAAUAUAGUAUUUGUUGAAAAUUAUCACUUUCAUCCUAAAAUAUUUUGAGUAAUAUUAAUGGUCCGAAACUUUUAUUUUGUUGUAUUUUUUAUCCAAUUUAUUUUUUAAUUUUUUACAUUGACGAUUUUGCCCUUAUUUUUUUCAACUUGUUUAUUUAAAUUUUUUUGAAUAAAAGAAAAAUAAUAAACAAAAAUGAAAUAUCUCUCUCUUUCUCUCUCUCAAAAAAUAAAAAAAACAAAACAAAAAAACUAAAAUACCCUCCUUCUUCCCCGUCUCUCNAUAUAUAUAUAUAUAACAUUUAAACUUAUCUCUAUAUAGGCUUAGGUUAUUUUGUUUUUACAAACUAUUAUAUGUCAGAAUGCAUAGAUCAGGACCAACGGAUUAAAUUAAUCAAUGGACAUGAUUUGAGGGUGUAUGAUAUUACAAUGGGAUAACAUGUACCAUAUAAUCACAUAAAUUUUAGCAAAAGAGUAUUUUGGACAACUAACUACAUUUAUAAAAGGAAAUUUUCGGAUUUUUAGGGAUAAUUAAUUCUCCUAAUUUUAAAAAUCUAAAAUUUUUUAAUUAAUUUAAUUUUAAUUCUAACGUAAUUUGUAUACAUAACCGAUUUUAUUCUGUCAGAAUAUUUUUUUUUUGUUAGAAUGGUGUUCUUUCAGAAUUUUAUUCUAUUAUAGUAUUAUUGAAAAAUAACAACAUUCUUGAAUCCGAGGUUGAAAAAUAACAACAUUCUAAUAUAUUCUUAUACAUCCGAACUUAAAUACAAAUUCAUACAUAUUCUUACAGAUUAAAAGUCUUAUACAUUUUAAUAUAAUUAUACAUAUUCUAAAGAAUAUCAACAAAAAUGAAUAAAAUUCUUAAAAAAUAACAAUAUUCUAAAAUUGUGAGUAUGAUCAAACUUUAUUCAUUCUUCAAGUUAUUCCUAUUAGAUCUUCAACGCAUUCUUCCAUCCAUUCUAUCACAAAAUACAACAAAAACUAAUAAUGAUUAAAAACAUAUUACUUGCAAUUAACUAUCACUUUAUAUAUUCUAGUAGAAUACAUACAAUAUGACAGAAUACAUAAAAAAAUAAUAAUAGGCAAUCCAAGAGAAAUAUCUAUUACAAAAACAAAUANACUAUAAUUUUGGGAUGGAAGGAGUAAUAAAAUAAAAUAAUAAUAAUAAUAAUAAUAAUAAUAAUAAUAAUAAUAAUAAUAAUAAUAAUAAUAAUAAUAAUAAUAAUAAUAAUAGGCAAUCCAAGAGAAACAUCUAUUACAAAAUAAUAAUAAUAAUAAUAAUAAUAAUAAUAAAAGAUUAACAGGUACACAAAGAUUCUAAAAGAAUCUUUAAAUAUAAAGUGUACUUACCAUUUAAUUCUGAUAGAAUAUAUAUGCAAUUACCAUUUAUAGCAUCAUACAAUUACCCAUUACUAUUGUGUAACCAAAAUAUAUUAUAAAAUUUUUAAAAAACAUUCUUAAAGAAUCAUUAAUCCUUAAGUGUGAUUAUCAUUUUAAAUUCUAACCGAAUGUAUUCUAACAUAAUACACUAUACAAAGCAUAAUGUAUUCUUACAAAAUCUACUAUAUUGUGUAUUUGAUUUUCCUAAAAAAUCAGUAUUAUUGUAGAAUACAUUGUAUAAUAGUUUCUAACAUAAUACAUUAUACAAAGUAUAAUGUGUUCUUACAGCACCAAUUGGGUUUUCUUAAUGUGUUCAACAAAUUAAAACAAAAAUAACAAAUAAUUGUGUUUAGUAUAAUUGAUAAAAUAAAAAAUUACCUUGCUCAGUGAAACGAAAUUGUUGAAUUGAGAGUAAAAUCAAAUCAAUCUAUAUUAAUGAAUAAUCGAUCCACCAAGCAUUACCUAUUAAAUGGGAAAAUGAAUGUCACCAGUUGAUUAUUUAGAUUCGUUGAAUUCCAUACAACAUCAUUAUUUGUAAUCUUGGUGUACACAAAAGAUGAAAUAUAAUAAACAUAAAUGUGCAAUGUACUGGCCUAAACAAAACAAUUUAUAAAUUCUAUGUUUCACAUACGUUGAGAUUUAAUAUAGACUAUAUAUUGGGCACCUGAAAAGUCCAUUCCCAUACGUGUCAAUCUGUCGCCGGUGAGCACUUUCCGGUUUCUCCACUGCCAGUCAAAAGUCAAAAUAGACAUAGGCCUCUUCCAUCUAUCUCUGUCGAUUUAGAGUGGGAUUGCUCUGAAGAAAGAUAGGGUCUCCCUUUUUUCUUAUUCAAUUGAUAGUUAGUUUUCCGGUAAUGCCCCAUCUAAGAGCCUAUUCGUCGUAAGCCCUUAUAGAGUCAUAACCUAAUCUAAUCCAUAAUCAGGCUUAAGACAUGCAACCAACCUCUUCUUAGAUUCAGAAAGGGGCAGCCAAAGCAGGGACUUAUAAACUAGCAUCAGAUUCUGGACAUAUUCCUGCUACUAUAAGAUCCUUUACUCGUAAAUAAACUAUGGCAGUUCCUUUAGCAGCUCCCUCCGGGCCCGCAAAGAUAAGAGAAGAGCAGAUUCUUCCCAUCUAUGAAUCCAAACCUCCCGAGCAGCUGUAAGAACGGGUUUCGUUCUAGUGUNAUAUUUAUAGCCUUUUUUUUAUAUAAACCUGUUUAUUCAUCUUUUCAAAAUUUGGAGUUCCUUAAUACAUUUGUUAAAAUGGGUCCUAAUAGAAUUUUUUAUGACAAAAUAAAAAAUUCUAUAUAUGAUUGGUCAUAUAAUCGGGGUUACAUAGAUGCCUUUUAUGGAAGAUUCUUAACUGCGGGGAUUAGAAAAUUGGCCAACUUUGCUCAUUUUUUUGAUAGACGAAUAAUUGAUGCAAUUCCAAAUGGAGUUGGUCUUAUGAGUUUCUUUGGAGCAGAGGUUAUUAAAUCGGUAGGGGGUGGGCGUAUUUCUUCUUAUCUGUUCUUUUAUUUUUCUUAUGUAGCAAUUUUUUUAUUAAUUUACAAUUUUUUCAAUGUUUGAACCUUGUUGACUAAUCUCGCUAACAUUGAACUUGGUAAAAUGACCCUACCUGCCAACGCGCGGAUAGAUAGGGCGGGCGAAGCCCGAAGGGGAUGGAUGUCUGAGCGGUUGAAAGAGUCCGUCUUGAAAACCGAAGUAUUGAUAGGAAUACCGGGGGUUCGAAUCCCUCUCCUCCGCGAGGUCAUAAGUUCUCUCUUGCGUUAUCUUUAGAUAAGAACGAAUCGGAUCAACUCGACUGAUAUGAUAGAUUGAAUGGUAGCUUGUUUUAUGAUUUAGUUAGGACUCUGUCUCCCUUUCGUGAUCUUCCGCCCUCCGGUUGGGGAAGGUCCGGAAAGCCCUCACUCCCCCUUUUUCAAAAAGAAGCCCCGCUCAACAAGGGGCCCUCUCUGAUAAGGAAGAAAACGAAAGAAUCUCAAUUUUACGAAAAAUCCGGUCCGAUGGUUGUUCU
RNAcentral lists this long non-coding RNA (6360 nucleotides) under Lactuca sativa (garden lettuce). Its description in RNAcentral is "long non-coding RNA (LSAT_LNC002486)". The stretch from base 6003 to 6088 matches the Rfam family "tRNA". The record is from RNAcentral. Lineage: Eukaryota; Viridiplantae; Streptophyta; Magnoliopsida; Asterales; Asteraceae.